CAUGCAAGUCGAACGAUGAUCCGGUGCUUGCACCGGGGAUUAGUGGCGAACGGGUGAGUAACACGUGAGUAACCUGCCCUUAACUCUGGGAUAAGCCUGGGAAACUGGGUCUAAUACCGGAUAUGACUCCUCAUCGCAUGGUGGGGGGUGGAAAGCUUUUUGUGGUUUUGGAUGGACUCGCGGCCUAUCAGCUUGUUGGUGAGGUAAUGGCUCACCAAGGCGACGACGGGUAGCCGGCCUGAGAGGGUGACCGGCCACACUGGGACUGAGACACGGCCCAGACUCCUACGGGAGGCAGCAGUGGGGAAUAUUGCACAAUGGGCGCAAGCCUGAUGCAGCGACGCCGCGUGAGGGAUGACGGCCUUCGGGUUGUAAACCUCUUUCAGUAGGGAAGAAGCGAAAGUGACGGUACCUGCAGAAGAAGCGCCGGCUAACUACGUGCCAGCAGCCGCGGUAAUACGUAGGGCGCAAGCGUUAUCCGGAAUUAUUGGGCGUAAAGAGCUCGUAGGCGGUUUGUCGCGUCUGCCGUGAAAGUCCGGGGCUCAACUCCGGAUCUGCGGUGGGUACGGGCAGACUAAAGUGAUGUAGGGGAGACUGGAAUUCCUGGUGUAGCGGUGAAAUGCGCAGAUAUCAGGAGGAACACCGAUGGCGAAGGCAGGUCUCUGGGCAUUAACUGACGCUGAAGAGCGAAAGCAUGGGGAGCGAACAGGAUUAGAUACCCUGGUAGUCCAUGCCGUAAACGUUGGGCACUAGGUGUGGGGGACAUUCCACGUUUUCCGCGCCGUAGCUAACGCAUUAAGUGCCCCGCCUGGGGAGUAC
This 819-nucleotide ribosomal RNA is filed under the name Arthrobacter sp. EC24. RNAcentral describes it as "bacterial SSU rRNA". It matches the Rfam family "Bacterial small subunit ribosomal RNA", at positions 54 to 883 of the family's 1533-position model. The record is from RNAcentral. Lineage: Bacteria; Bacillati; Actinomycetota; Actinomycetes; Micrococcales; Micrococcaceae.